RNAcentral lists this ribosomal RNA (466 nucleotides) under uncultured bacterium. RNAcentral's name for it is "partial 16S ribosomal RNA". It matches the Rfam family "Bacterial small subunit ribosomal RNA", at positions 30 to 507 of the family's 1533-position model. The record is from RNAcentral.
CGAACGCUGGCGGCGUGCUUAACACAUGCAAGUCGAACGGAAAGGCCCUGCUUUUGUGGGGUGCUCGAGUGGCGAACGGGUGAGUAACACGUGAGUAACCUGCCCUUGACUUUGGGAUAACUUCAGGAAACUGGGGCUAAUACCGGAUAGGAGCUCCUGCUGCAUGGUGGGGGUUGGAAAGUUUCGGCGGUUGGGGAUGGACUCGCGGCUUAUCAGCUUGUUGGUGGGGUAGUGGCUUACCAAGGCUUUGGCGGGUAGCCGGCCUGAGAGGGUGACCGGCCACAUUGGGACUGAGAUACGGCCCAGACUCCUACGGGAGGCAGCAGUGGGGAAUAUUGCACAAUGGGCGGAAGCCUGAUGCAGCAACGCCGCGUGCGGGAUGACGGCCUUCGGGUUGUAAACCGCUUUCGCCUGUGACGAAGCGUGAGUGACGGUAAUGGGUAAAGAAGCACCGGCUAACUACGUG